CAUCGGAUCACAAGCAAAGACCUCCUGGGGACCUUCAAUGCAUCCCUUGACAAAGUUGUGCCUGGCCUGCUGAAACUGUACUGGUCUAAGAAGGGAGCUCUUGGUGAGGAGAUGGAAGACCUCCUGGAUAAACUUGAUGAACAGACAUCCAACACUGUGUCCAACGGGCACUGAGAGGCCUGCCCAUUUUCCUCAAGAGAAGAUGCAACAGAGGUUUUCCUGAAGUGCUUAGACACUGACAUUUUGGAACCAGUGUUGAACGGUGCAUCAGUUGCCAUCCUCACCAUCCUACAAGAUGACGAUGCUGAUACGUCUGUGCGAGAACAUGCAGUUGUGUUGGAAGGGGACAUCGUGCUACAUAACAUUCCAGAUCUCUCUACUGCCCUGGCACACCUCUUUGGCCUUCUGUAUGCCCUCAACAUUGAUUAUCCAAAGCAGAUGAGUUUUACCUUUGAAGCAAUUCAGGCCAUCUUAUUUUGGCCUGGUCGGACAAUAUGAAGGUGAAGUGGAUAAAUCAUUAUUCGAAAUGUAAAUUUUAGUCAGAUGAAUCUGUAUUGUUGAGAAUAUAUGGUGAAAAUUUGUCUUGUAGUAUUUUAAAAGAUUUGUUAUAGUGUUAGUUUCCUCUUCAUUGAUGGUAACAUUUCUAAGAACUUUUAACUUCCAUAGUUCAUCAUAGUAAGCCUGUGUAAAAUGUCAAUGUCUGGGUGCAUAGGCAAUCGUUUGUAGCACUACCCUAUUUAAUGUGCAA
Long non-coding RNA from Oreochromis niloticus (Nile tilapia), 748 nucleotides. RefSeq lists it as uncharacterized. NCBI's taxonomy places the organism in Eukaryota, Metazoa, Chordata, Actinopteri, Cichliformes, Cichlidae. The transcript is spliced from 3 exons. The record is from RefSeq and is a predicted model, not a curated record.